Molecule: ribosomal RNA, 631 nt
Filed under: uncultured Novosphingobium sp.
Lineage: Bacteria; Pseudomonadati; Pseudomonadota; Alphaproteobacteria; Sphingomonadales; Sphingomonadaceae
Description: bacterial SSU rRNA
Rfam family: Bacterial small subunit ribosomal RNA
Source: RNAcentral
AAGUCGAACGAGACCUUCGGGUCUAGUGGCGCACGGGUGCGUAACGCGUGGGAAUCUGCCCUUUGCUUCGGAAUAACAGUUAGAAAUGACUGCUAAUACCGGAUGAUGUCUUCGGACCAAAGAUUUAUCGGCAAAGGAUGAGCCCGCGUAGGAUUAGGUAGUUGGUGGGGUAAAGGCCUACCAAGCCGACGAUCCUUAGCUGGUCUGAGAGGAUGAUCAGCCACACUGGGACUGAGACACGGCCCAGACUCCUACGGGAGGCAGCAGUGGGGAAUAUUGGACAAUGGGCGAAAGCCUGAUCCAGCAAUGCCGCGUGAGUGAUGAAGGCCUUCGGGUCGUAAAGCUCUUUUACCAGGGAUGAUAAUGACAGUACCUGGAGAAUAAGCUCCGGCUAACUCCGUGCCAGCAGCCGCGGUAAUACGGAGGGAGCUAGCGUUGUUCGGAAUUACUGGGCGUAAAGAGUACGUAGGCGGCUAUUCAAGUCAGAGGUGAAAGCCCGGGGCUCAACCCCGGAACUGCCUUUGAAACUAGGUAGCUAGAAUCUUGGAGAGGUCAGUGGAAUUCCGAGUGUAGAGGUGAAAUUCGUAGAUAUUCGGAAGAACACCAGUGGCGAAGGCGACUGACUGGACAA